Molecule: transfer RNA, 75 nt
Filed under: bacterium
Lineage: Bacteria
Also listed under: 1 other name
Description: tRNA-Gly
Rfam family: tRNA
About the family: Transfer RNA (tRNA) molecules are approximately 80 nucleotides in length. Their secondary structure includes four short double-helical elements and three loops (D, anti-codon, and T loops).
Source: RNAcentral
GCGGGUGUAGUUCAGGGGUAGAACGUCUCCUUGCCAAGGAGAAGGCCGGCGGUUCAAAUCCGCUCACCCGCUCCA